Non-coding RNA from Cinara cedri, 523 nucleotides. The record is from the annotation of a GenBank genome assembly. NCBI's taxonomy places the organism in Eukaryota, Metazoa, Arthropoda, Insecta, Hemiptera, Aphididae.
AUAACUGAUAACAUAUUAUAUAUUUUUUAAAAUGGUAACCUUGAAAAUAUUAGUGACCUUGAGUAGGGAACCGGCAGCUAGAUACUUGGUGGUAUGACUUAUAAUUUCAAUAAGAAAAAGUUGAGUUUAAUAUUUUAUUUUUAUAUGAAUUUUAAUAUCAAAUGUUGAUGAAAAUAAAAAGUAUUAUGAUCUUUUGAACAUGUGUAACUCUGCUCAGAAUCGUUUUCGUUAGCAAAGAUUAAUCAUUGCAUAUAUAUAUAUACAUUAAAUUUCUCUCUAUAUCCUACCUUCAUAACUUUUCACCAACAUCAAUAGCUCACCCAUCAUGCUAAGUAUGUCAGUCUUUUUUUUAUUUGAGUACCUACUGAUAAAUUUAAAUAGACAUUUUUCAGUUUUUGGGAUAAAAGAUGGCUUAGGUAGUCUAAAAAAUUAUUUAUUAGACUAACCACUAACCUGUGUUAUUUGCAUUAUAAAACUAUUUAUUUAAAAACCAUACUUACAACUAACUGAAAAAUUUGGUCCC